RNAcentral lists this non-coding RNA (112 nucleotides) under Roseovarius atlanticus. RNAcentral's name for it is "TPP sequence". It matches the Rfam family "TPP riboswitch aptamer (THI element)". Rfam says of the family: Vitamin B(1) in its active form thiamin pyrophosphate (TPP) is an essential coenzyme that is synthesised by coupling of pyrimidine and thiazole moieties in bacteria. The previously detected thiamin-regulatory element, thi box was extended, resulting in a new, highly conserved RNA secondary structure, the THI element, which is widely distributed in eubacteria and also occurs in some archaea. Lineage: Bacteria; Pseudomonadati; Pseudomonadota; Alphaproteobacteria; Rhodobacterales; Roseobacteraceae. The record is from RNAcentral.
UCUGAAACCUCGGGGUGUCGUCCGGGCCCGGCCCGGCGACUGAGAUGCACGUCGCAAACCCGUUGAACCUGAACCGGCUGACACCGGCGGAGGGAAGGUCAUGCACCCGCAU